Molecule: long non-coding RNA, 332 nt
Filed under: Ursus americanus (American black bear)
Lineage: Eukaryota; Metazoa; Chordata; Mammalia; Carnivora; Ursidae
Description: lncRNA (ENSUAMG00000027192.1)
Source: RNAcentral
CUGUUAUAUUUAAAAAUGUAUUAAGGUACAUGCUAAAAAUUUGAACAGUUCAAAAGGCAUGGAGUGAAAAGAAAGUCUGUCUUCUGUCCUGGAUUCCAAUUUCCCACUCUUCCUGCACCAAAAGCAUCUUCUGUUACCGGUUUCUCAUCCCCUGCCCUUCACUGAGAGGGAGCCCAGGUGAUGGCAGCCAUGCCCCUGAACGCCUGGCACCAGGGUACCCAGUUUGCAGACUUGCCCUGAUCUCACUUCUGGAAGGAGGGGAUUUGCCUUGAGGCCUGGUGCCACAGGCCAAUCCACCUGCAGAGAGUACCAGUGAUGUCUCUAAAGGUAGG